CCCCACAUCAAGGUGAGAAAGUAAGGCUGU
This 30-nucleotide non-coding RNA is filed under the name Macaca fascicularis (crab-eating macaque). RNAcentral also lists the same sequence under 1 other name. The record is from RNAcentral. Lineage: Eukaryota; Metazoa; Chordata; Mammalia; Primates; Cercopithecidae.